UACGUAGGGAGCAAGCGUUUCUAGGAUUUACUGGGCGUAAAGGGCGCGUAGGCGGCGCGGUAAGUCACUUGUGAAGUCUCUGAGCUUAACUCAGAACUGCCAAGUGAUACUGCUGUGCUAGAGUGCGGACGAGGCAACCGGAAUUCUUGGUGUAGCGGUGAAAUGCGUAGAUAUCAAGAGGAACACCUGAGGCGAAGGCGGGUUGCUGGGCCGACACUGACGCAGAUGCGCGAAAGCGAGGGGAGCAAACGGG
RNAcentral lists this ribosomal RNA (253 nucleotides) under uncultured bacterium. RNAcentral's name for it is "partial 16S ribosomal RNA". It matches the Rfam family "Bacterial small subunit ribosomal RNA", at positions 524 to 776 of the family's 1533-position model. The record is from RNAcentral.